Molecule: ribosomal RNA, 258 nt
Filed under: uncultured bacterium
Lineage: Bacteria
Description: partial 16S ribosomal RNA
Rfam family: Bacterial small subunit ribosomal RNA
Source: RNAcentral
GAGAAGCGAACCUGCGAAGGCAAGCGGAUCUCUUAAAGCCGUUCUCAGUUCGGACUGUAGGCUGCAACUCGCCUACACGAAGCUGGAAUCGCUAGUAAUCGCGGAUCAGCACGCCGCGGUGAAUACGUUCCCGGGUCUUGUACACACCGCCCGUCACACCAUGGGAGUCGGAAAUGCCCGAAGCCAGUGACCCAACCUUUAAGGAGGGAGCUGUCGAAGGCAGGUCUGGUAACUGGGGUGAAGUCGUAACAAGGUACC